GGGUCGUUAGCUCAGUUGGUAGAGCAGUUGACUUUUAAUCAAUUGGUCGCAGGUUCGAAUCC
This 62-nucleotide transfer RNA is filed under the name Yersinia pestis PY-16. Its description in RNAcentral is "partial tRNA-OTHER". It matches the Rfam family "tRNA", at positions 1 to 60 of the family's 71-position model. From Rfam's summary of the family: Transfer RNA (tRNA) molecules are approximately 80 nucleotides in length. Their secondary structure includes four short double-helical elements and three loops (D, anti-codon, and T loops). RNAcentral also lists the same sequence under 2 other names. Lineage: Bacteria; Pseudomonadati; Pseudomonadota; Gammaproteobacteria; Enterobacterales; Yersiniaceae. The record is from RNAcentral.